This 586-nucleotide ribosomal RNA is filed under the name uncultured bacterium. RNAcentral describes it as "bacterial SSU rRNA". It matches the Rfam family "Bacterial small subunit ribosomal RNA", at positions 60 to 665 of the family's 1533-position model. The record is from RNAcentral.
AGUCGAUUCAGUUACCUUCGGGUAAUGAGGAUGGCGGACGGGUGAGUAACGCGUAAGGAACUUGCCUCUUGGACUGGGACAACUGUUGGAAACGACAGCUAAUACCGGAUAUUAUGAGAUUCUCGCAUGAGAAACUUAUGAAAGCUAUAUGCGCCAAGAGAGAGCCUUGCGUUCCAUUAGCUAGUUGGUGGGGUAACGGCCCACCAAGGCGACGAUGGAUAGCCGGCCUGAGAGGGUGAACGGCCACAAGGGGACUGAGACACGGCCCUUACUCCUACGGGAGGCAGCAGUGGGGAAUAUUGGACAAUGGGCCACAAGCCUGAUCCAGCAAUUCUGUGUGCACGAUGAAGGUCUUCGGAUUGUAAAGUGCUUUCAGUUGGGAAGAAGAAAGUGACGGUACCAACAGAAGAAGCGACGGCUAAAUACGUGCCAGCAGCCGCGGUAAUACGUAUGUCGCAAGCGUUAUCCGGAUUUAUUGGGCGUAAAGCGCGUCUAGGCGGCAAAAUAAGUCUGAUGUUAAAAUGCGGGGCUCAACUCCGUAUUGCGUUGGAAACUGUUUUUCUAGAGUACUGGAGAGGUGGGCGGA